This 3097-nucleotide long non-coding RNA is filed under the name Mustela putorius furo (domestic ferret). Its description in RNAcentral is "lncRNA (ENSMPUG00000029184.1)". The record is from RNAcentral. Lineage: Eukaryota; Metazoa; Chordata; Mammalia; Carnivora; Mustelidae.
CUUCCUUCUGUUGCUAAUCUCUAGGUUGCUCUAAGGUCCCCAUUCUGGCUUCCCAGCUUUUUUACUUCUGUGGAUAACCAAUUCUUUGCACUAGAGUCUCUCCGUCUAAAUAUUCAGAUUUAUAUUCUGAAUAUAUUCUGAAUAUUCUGAAACACCAUGUGGAUGACAUACCCAGACAAAAAAUGCUGUUUAUGGACUUUGAGGAAAUUCCACACCAUGGACUGCAGGUGCUUCAGGGCUGUGGGGAGGCUGAACCCAGGAGAAUUUCUGGGAAAUACAUAAGGCACCGGGAGACCAGGAUUCUAUGGUUGUUCGUUAUGCAGCAGAAGCUGACCAAUAUGGCUCCCCUGGAAAUUGGCAGAUUCACUUCAUUAAUCUGGUUUGGAUUUUGUCUUCAUACGGUAAGCACGGCAGUGUCAGAAAAAGAGCAAGGAUCAGAACACCGCUUGCUGAGGCUGAGGGUACUUGCAUGAGGCAACAAACUGGGAUCACACCCCCUCGUGUCUUCACGCGGCUACAGGAGACAUGGUGGGCAAACAUCGUGCUGCGGUUUCCCCUGUAUCACUCCGUGUUCCCACGGAACGCAGGACUCUUGAGCCGAAUGGGAAACAAAGUACCAUAAUAUGACUUGUGCUAGAUCUGAGACCUCGCAACAGGAACCUAUACAGGUUGGUGAGCCAGAAUUGGUUCCAGUGCCUCAGUGAUAUGAAUUGUUUAUAAACUCCUGCGAGCUUGGUAAACACGUCGUAUUGUCACUGUACUGAAGAGUCUGAAGGACAUGUGAAGAAGCUUUCCUGCUGUGACUGGGAUUGGCUGAAGUUCAAAGCACAACGGCUCAGCUCAUCACCUGAGAGCCUAAAAUAAACUGGCGUGCAGCUGUGGAUGACAGGAAACUUUCAGUUCAGAGGCAGUGGCUGGAGGCACUCCCCUACACGGGCGAAGGAAACCCAUUCUUUCUGUACUUAAGUAUUCAUUCCUUGCAAGGGGCUAGAGGGACAUGUGGGCAGAGUUCUGUGCGAAGCAGCCUUGCUCAUGUGGAGAGACAGAGAAUUUGCAGUGGCUAUGGGUUAUGAAUGUGAUAAUAUUUUGCUCCCAGUUGUUGUGAAGAUUGAAUAAAAUGGUAUGUGUAAAUGAUUUAGUGCAAAUCCUGCCUCAUAAUAAGUGUAUACUAAAUCUUAACUAUUAUUAUUAGCAGUAUGAUUAUUAGCAGAAUGAUCAAAUAGAGAAUAUCAUCAACUGUAGAAAACAAUGUAACAUUUUCAAAAGUUGGAGCCGAUCUGAAUCAUCACAUACAGCUGUUCCUGAGGAAAGAAGAGCAUUUGAAAAAUUGUAAUGUAUUCUUGCAACAAGUUUCAUAGAGGCAAUACAUUGGGAAAAGUAUAACAGGUAAUCAUGAAAAAGAAAACUGAGAGUGGGAAAGUGCUCUUGGAAAUGCAAUCAUAAUUGCUGAAUUAUAAACAGUAAGAGGCGAUGAAAAGCAACUUGAAACAUGACAGAGUAUUGAUUCAGGAAAUUAGGAAACAUGUUCAAGUUCCUGGAACUUAAAAGGAAAAAGAUAAACAAAUUCAAAAUGUUGAAAGAAAGGGUUAGAUAUAAAAUUCGAAGAUUUAAUAUCUGCUUAAUAGGCAUGCUAGAAAGAAAAGAGUAGGUAGAAGAAAAACAGCAAAGAAAAAAUAGGCGGAAAUGUUUGUAACCUGGAAAAAAAAAGUGUGUAAGUCCGGAAGUAGAAUUCAGCAAGUACCAUUCACAAAUUAAUUAAAGGCCACAGAUGCUUAGAAAUCAUAAAGAAACUUAAAUGUAGAGAUUGAAGGGAGGAGUAACUGGCUGGCUCAGUGUGAGUUUGAGUCCCACAUUGGGUAUAGAAAUUAUUUUUAAAAAAUUAAAGAACAGGAGCGCCUGGGUGGCUCAGUGGGUUAAAGCCUCUGCCUUCAGCUCAGGUCAUGAUCUCAGGUCCUGGGAUCGAGCCCCACAUCGGGCUCUCUGCUCAGCAGGGAGCCUGCCCCCCUUCCUCUCUUUCCCUCUGCCUGCCUCUCUGCCUACUGGUGAUCUCCGUCAAAUAAAUUUAAAAAAAAAUUAGAGAUCGAAAACCCUGAAAGUACACUGAGCCAGGUUAGAGGAAGAUUAUUAAUUAAAAAACAAAAGUAAAACUUAUAUCAGAUAUUUGUAAAAUGUUAAAUGCAAGAAGACUAUCUUGAUAUUUCAAUGAAAAAUGAUUUUCAAUAAAGAAUUAUAAAAUAUUGGGGUGUCUGGGUGGCUCAGUGGGUUAAAGCCUCUGCCUUCAGCUCAGUUCAUGAUCCCAGGGUCCUGGGAUCAAGCCCCACAUAGGGCUCUCUGCUCAGCGGGGAGUCUGCUUACCUGCCCCUGCCCCCGCCUCUCUACCUACUUGUAAUCUCUGUCAAAUAAACAAAUAAAAUCUUUAAAAAAAUUGUAAAAUAUUUGCAAUUUUGCAAAUCUGACAGGUAAUAAACUACAUCUCAAUUUAGUUUUAAUUUGCAUUUCUCUUAUUAUAAGAAAAGUAAAGCAUCUUUGCAUAUGUAAUUCUUUCUCUGUGAACUGUCUGUUCUUAUCCUAUGCCCAUUUGCUGUCUUUUUUGCUUCUUAACUGCUGAAAACUUUUAAAUAUUGGGGAGAUAAGCAUACUUUGUAGCAUAAGCUGCAAAUAUUGUUUCUAGUUUAUUACGUAUACUUCUUAUAAAUAUUCCAGGAAGUCAAAUAUUGGCCUAAAGUAUAAAUAAUUAGUUUAAAUAAUUAGUAAUAAUUAAUAAAACCUGUAGUUGUUAUUCAAAUAAUUGUUGACAUGAAAGUAUGGUUAUAAAAGUUAGUAUACAUUUUCAACAUAAUUAUUUAAGAAUACACACUUGUGUAUUUACACUUGUGUAUUUACACAAGUGUGUGUAUUUAAGAAUACACACAAGGUGCCUGGCUGGCUCAGUGGGUGGAACACAAGACUCUUGAUCUCAGAGUUGUGAAUUCGAGCCCCAUGUUGAGCAUAGAGCUUACUUUGGAAAUUUUUUGAAAAAAGAAAAGAAUACACACAUAAAAAAUAAAUUAACACUUGGAACUUAAGGCCCGAAUAAUCCCACCAAAAUGAGGCAAUG